This 1813-nucleotide long non-coding RNA is filed under the name Homo sapiens (human). Its description in RNAcentral is "non-protein coding lnc-ARNT2-1:1". Lineage: Eukaryota; Metazoa; Chordata; Mammalia; Primates; Hominidae. The record is from RNAcentral.
CCUUAUGCAAGCAUUACAAAACCCACUCAGUUCUUUCAGCAAUCAUAUCAGGCAGGCCCAAAGGGAAUAAUUCCCCAAAAGGCAGGGAUAUUAAAAUAUUAAACUGAUAUAGUUUCCAAAAUAAUCCAAUAAAACAAAAAUUCCCCUAUGCAUGCUUAAGCAUAGAACAUUCUUUGAAAGCUACACAGCAAAAAUUCAUGAGAAUAAUAUUUUAUUCAUAGUUUUCCUUUUCAACUAUUCUUUGAAUAGCUCUUGUACACAUACAACAGAACUACAAGCUCAUAAAUAAUGAGUUUCAGUUUUUAUGUAUAGAUUGUAAUUAUUGAAGCAAUUAUGAGAGGAAAUCUGAGGCCACAAUAUUAACACCAAAUGAGAAACAUAGUGGAUUGUUCCCCACAUUGAUAUCAGAGAGAGCAAUUGAGUUGUGUCUUUAUCCAACAUAAAAAUUACUUGAUGCUGAGCAAUUAUAAUGAACAAUUUUAGUUUGGAACCUAAUUUCUACUGGUAUUAAAGAUUCAGAUAUCGUAACAGAAAGAAAAUAGUCAUCACUAAUAGUGUAAGCUGUUUUUUUUGUUUCCCUUUUAGGAACUUUCCACUAUUUUUCCCUCAACUUUCUCAUGUUCUGACAAAAGAUACUUAAAUUUGCAAUAUUUUAAACUUAUUUUCAGCAUGCACAAUCCUGAUUUUAGAAGUUUAUCCAUUUAAUGAUAAUGUGUACAAUACUCAAUCAUUUUUCUAUCCUCAUCAUGCUCCCAAAGGUUAUCCAAUUAAAAAAAAUUCCCCACUAUAAUAACUGAGAAAUUUACAUUAGGAAAAUAAGCAGUGAGAAAAAAAAUUACAUAUCUGAGAAUAAAGAUCACAAGAUAUAAAAGUUUCUCUGAAAUUAAAAAAAAUAUAUUUAGGCCACAGAUUUAAGGAACCAUAUGGGAAUGACUUGCAAUUCAUUUUAUGUAAACAGAGAAGACAACAUUUAUUGGCACAAUUUAAUAUGUAGAUUAGUUUCUGCAUAAAUAGUUUAGAGUUGCGUGAUUGGUAUAUCAAAGAGAGAUAAAUAUAAUUUUAGUAGAUGCCUUGAAGUUUGGAAAGGUCUUCUGUAAGUGGCAUAUUUGCUUAUUUGCUGUUUAAUAGCAAAUUCAAGGUCUGAUGAUGUGACAUGUGAUAACAGCCUUUAGAUGCCUCAUCCCAGGCAGCCUCCUGUACCCCUCUGGUCUGCCUUCCCCACUGGUCUGUGCUAUCAGCUGCAUUAUUCAGUUGCCCAUUAAGUGGGAAUCAAAUCUGUGUCAUUAAGGAGCCCCAGGUCACAAUAAGCCUUCAUUACUUUGCUUAUAGCAGUGUGGCUUUAUUUUGAAUUGGACCACUGAUUAAUACUGUCCAGCUCCUGUUAUACUGAUGAGAUCAUUAUUUAACCUUACACCUUCUGAGGCUAUCAGUUACACAUCAGAGAAGCCUUGCCUUGCAUUCCCCUUGCCAGAAAAAUAUUUUCUUUGGGAGUUCCAGAAGCCAACUUUGUCCCAGUUCUUACAACAAAAUUUCCUCCUCUCUGCCCCACCUGCAAGGCUGGCCUCACGUAAACAGCCAGCCUUGGUCUCGGCCACCAGGGCCUUUGCAGCAAAGACGUGCCCGGGGGAGAAAAAUUCAAUUUGUACUUUUCACUCAACUUUAUAUUUGUGACAUGCAUCCACAGGCAUAAUUUAUUUACUGUCACUGCUAUUUAUUUAUUUAUUUUUAAUUUUAAUUUUUAUUUUUGAGACGGAGUCUCGCUCUGUCGCCCAGGCUGGAGUGCAGUGGCCCAAUCUCGGCUCACUGCACGCUC